This 945-nucleotide ribosomal RNA is filed under the name uncultured archaeon. Its description in RNAcentral is "bacterial SSU rRNA". It matches the Rfam family "Archaeal small subunit ribosomal RNA", at positions 1 to 923 of the family's 1478-position model. The record is from RNAcentral.
UUCCGGUUGAUCCUGCCGGAUCCUACUGCUAUCGGGAUGAGACUAAAACAUGCUAGUUGAGCGCACCCAAGCUAUGUUGGGAGCGCAGCGAACGGCUCUGUAACACGUUGUCAAUCUGACCUUAGGAUAGGAAUAACCCCGGGAAACUGGGGCUAAUACCUGAUAGGCGAAAAAAUCUGGAAUGAUUUUUCACUUAAAGAGUUAUAGAAACAUGCUUCUUUAACUGCCUAAGGAUGAGACUGCGUCCGAUCAGGUUGUUGGUGGGGUGAUGGCCUACCAAGCCUAUAACCGGUACGGGCCCUGAGAGGGGGAGCCCGGAGAUGGGAACUGAGACAAGGUCCCAGACCCUACGGGGUGCAGCAGUUGCGAAACCUCUACAAUGCACGAAAGUGUGAUAGGGUUAUCCCGAGUGCCGUCCGAUGAGGAUGGCUUUUACCUGGUGUAAGGAGCCAGGAGAAUAAAGGGGGGGCAAGACUGGUGUCAGCCGCCGCGGUAAUACCAGCCCCCUGAGUGGUAGGGAUGAUUAUUUGGCCUAAAACGUCCGUAGCCGGCUCAGCAAGUCUUUCGUUAAAUCCGGUGACUUAAUCAUCGGGCUGCGAGAGAUACUACUAGGCUUGAGGGCGGGAGAGGUCGACGGUAUUCCGGGGGUAGGGGUAAAAUCCUAUAAUCCUCGGAGGACCACCAGUGGCGAAGGCGGUCGACUAGAACGUGCCUGACGGUGAUGGACGAAAGCUGGGGGAGCAAACCGGAUUAGACACCCGGGUAGUCCCAGCUGUAAACGAUGCGGGCUAGGUGUUGGGGCAGCUACGAGCUGCUCCAGUGCCGCAGAGAAGUCAUUAAGCCCGCUGCCUGGGAAGUACGGUCGCAAGACUGAAACUUAAAGGAAUUGGCGGGGGAGCACCACAAGGGGUGAAGCCUGCGGUUCAAUUGGAUUCAACGCCGGAA